This 320-nucleotide ribosomal RNA is filed under the name uncultured eukaryote. Its description in RNAcentral is "partial 18S ribosomal RNA". It matches the Rfam family "Eukaryotic small subunit ribosomal RNA", at positions 1470 to 1796 of the family's 1831-position model. The record is from RNAcentral.
CCCCUAGAUGUUCUGGGCCGCACGCGCGCUACACUGAACAGUUCAACAAGUCUUAACCUUGGCCGAUAGGUCUGGGUAAUCUUUGAACGCUGUUCGUGAUUGGGAUAGACCUUUGCAAUUAUGGGUCUUCAACGAGGAAUUCCUAGUAAACGCAAGUCAUCAGCUUGCAUUGAUUACGUCCCUGCCUUUUGUACACACCGCCCGUCGCACCUACCGAUUGAAUGGUCCGGUGAAAUCUCGGGACGGCGGCUUGGUCGCUUGCGUCCGACUGCUGAAACUUGAUUAAACCAUAUCAUUUAGAGGAAGGUGAAGUCGUAACA